CCGUACCUAUCCCAUACCCGUCCAAUGUACCCGGUUAGGUGGGUAUUCCCCAUCCCAUUCGGGGCAAGGCCCCACGGGUAUCGGGUUGAACUAGUUUUUUUGCCAUCCCCAAUUUUAUGUGGAAUUUAUUAAGAAAUUGCCCCCACUUUUGGACUAGUUGACUUGUGCAAAUUGCUUUGGUAUCUCCUUGACUUGAAACAACUUUGAAGGUUCUUUACCCAAUGAACAAGAAUUAGAAAUUCUUAAUAAAUUUUUAAAAUAUUUUGCUUGUGUAUUUUUUCUUUAUAUAAAGGAGAAAGUGGGUUGGGCCGGUUGUGGGCUUAGCUACUGAAGCCAAGUUUGUCCUGAUCGGUCCGUUCCAAAAUUACACCCCUAGACAUGGAUAUUGACUUGGAGUCAUAUUUCCACGAUUAUGCCCAUGCGCUUAGACUACGGUAUUAUUUGUUUUUGAAAAAUGGAUGAGUGAUUUUUGUUACAAAAUUUGAAAUUAUCAACCUUAUCAAAAUUGGAGGAAGUAACGGCAAGAAAUGAGUAAUAGAAUACCAAAGAAACGCUAACGAAAAAAGGACAAAGUAACACCAAGUAAAAUGGAUGUAAAGUCGAGGCAAGAGUUGAACUCUUUGUCCAUAAGUUGAUUUUGUUUUUCAGUGCUUACGGAUGAUGGUAAUCAACUCCUAGGAUAUAAUGAUU
Molecule: long non-coding RNA, 690 nt
Filed under: Olea europaea subsp. europaea
Lineage: Eukaryota; Viridiplantae; Streptophyta; Magnoliopsida; Lamiales; Oleaceae
Source: RNAcentral